GAUGAACGCUGGCGGCGUGCCUAAUACAUGCAAGUCGAACGAAACUUCUUUAUCACCGAGUGCUUGCACUCACCGAUAAAGAGUUGAGUGGCGAACGGGUGAGUAACACGUGGGCAACCUGCCCCAAAGAGGGGGAUAACACUUGGAAACAGGUGCUAAUACCGCAUAACCAUAGUUACCGCAUGGUAACUAUGUAAAAGGUGGCUAUACUACCGCUUUUGGAUGGGCCCGCGGCGCAUUAGCUAGUUGGUAGGGUAAAGGCUUACCAAGGCAAUGAUGCGUAGCCGAAUUGAGAGGUUGAUCGGCCACAUUGGGACUGAGACACGGCCCAAACUCCUACGGGAGGCAGCAGUAGGGAAUCUUCCACAAUGGGCGAAAGCCUGAUGGAGCAACGCCGCGUGGGUGAAGAAGGUCUUCGGAUCGUAAAACCCUGUUGUUAGAGAAGAAAGUGCGUGAGAGUAACUGUUCACGUUUCGACGGUAUCUAACCGGAAAGCCACGGCUAACUACGUG
This 512-nucleotide ribosomal RNA is filed under the name uncultured bacterium. RNAcentral describes it as "partial 16S ribosomal RNA". It matches the Rfam family "Bacterial small subunit ribosomal RNA", at positions 28 to 507 of the family's 1533-position model. The record is from RNAcentral.